GUGUCAGCAGCCGCGGUAAGACGAACCGUGCGAACGUUGUUCGGAAUCACUGGGCUUAAAGGGCGCGUAGGCGGGCACGCAAGUCAGGGGUGAAAUCCUCCGGCUCAACCGGAGAACAGCUUUUGAUACUGCGUGCCUCGAGGGGGGUAGGGGCAUGUGGAACUUCCGGUGGAGCGGUGAAAUGCGUUGAUAUCGGAAGGAACGCCGGUGGCGAAAGCGAGCUGCUGGACCUUUUCUGACGCUGAGGCGCGAAAGCCAGGGGAGCAAACGGGAUUAGAUACCCCGGUAGUCC
RNAcentral lists this ribosomal RNA (292 nucleotides) under uncultured bacterium. Its description in RNAcentral is "partial 16S ribosomal RNA". It matches the Rfam family "Bacterial small subunit ribosomal RNA", at positions 505 to 796 of the family's 1533-position model. The record is from RNAcentral.